GCGGAUAUGGUGGAAUUGGCAGACACGCCAGAUUUAGGUUCUGGUGCCGUACGGCGUACAGGUUCAAGUCCUGCUAUCCGCACCA
This 85-nucleotide transfer RNA is filed under the name Candidatus Gallacutalibacter pullistercoris. RNAcentral's name for it is "tRNA-Leu". It matches the Rfam family "tRNA". From Rfam's summary of the family: Transfer RNA (tRNA) molecules are approximately 80 nucleotides in length. The record is from RNAcentral. Lineage: Bacteria; Bacillati; Bacillota; Clostridia; Eubacteriales.